CCCAAUGAUAUCUCUAGAAGACAUCUGAAAGGGNUUUAAAGAUUUAUCGGUGAUGGAUGGGGAUGCGUCUGAUUAGCUUGUUGCGGGGUAACGGCCCACCAAGGCUACGAUCAGUAGGGGUUCUGAGAGGAAGGUCCCCCCACAUUGGAACUGAGACACGGUCCAAACUCCUACGGGAGGCAGCAGUGAGGAAUAUUGGUCAAUGGGCGAGAGCCUGAACCAGCCAAGUAGCGUGCAGGAUGACGGCCCUAUGGGUUGUAAACUGCUUUUAUAAGGGAAUAAAGUGAGCCUCGUGAGGCUUUUUGCAUGUACCUUAUGAAUAAGGACCGGCUAAUUCCGUG
RNAcentral lists this ribosomal RNA (341 nucleotides) under uncultured bacterium. Its description in RNAcentral is "bacterial SSU rRNA". It matches the Rfam family "Bacterial small subunit ribosomal RNA", at positions 169 to 507 of the family's 1533-position model. The record is from RNAcentral.